This 253-nucleotide ribosomal RNA is filed under the name uncultured bacterium. RNAcentral describes it as "partial 16S ribosomal RNA". It matches the Rfam family "Bacterial small subunit ribosomal RNA", at positions 524 to 776 of the family's 1533-position model. The record is from RNAcentral.
UACGUAGGGUGCAAGCGUUGUCCGGAAUUAUUGGGCGUAAAGAGCUCGUAGGCGGUUCGUCGCGUCGAAUGUGAAAACCCGGGGCUCAACUCCGGGCCUGCAUUCGAUACGGGCGGACUAGAGUUCGGUAGGGGAGACUGGAAUUCCUGGUGUAGCGGUGAAAUGCGCAGAUAUCAGGAGGAACACCGGUGGCGAAGGCGGGUCUCUGGGCCGAUACUGACGCUGAGGAGCGAAAGCGUGGGGAGCGAACAGG